This 412-nucleotide ribosomal RNA is filed under the name bacterium enrichment culture clone ALO1_GLFRUDD03FUHSU. RNAcentral's name for it is "bacterial SSU rRNA". It matches the Rfam family "Bacterial small subunit ribosomal RNA", at positions 9 to 423 of the family's 1533-position model. The record is from RNAcentral.
GAGUUUGAUCGUGGCUCAGAUUGAACGCUGGCGGCAUGCCUUACACAUGCAAGUCGAACGGCAGCACGGGAGCUUGCUCCUGGUGGCGAGUGGCGAACGGGUGAGUAAUGCAUCGGAACGUAUCCUGGAGUGGGGGAUAACGUAGCGAAAGUUACGCUAAUACCGCAUAUUCUGUGAGCAGGAAAGCGGGGGACCUUCGGGCCUCGCGCUCUUGGAGCGGCCGAUGUCGGAUUAGCUAGUUGGUGAGGUAAAGGCUCACCAAGGCGACGAUCCGUAGCAGGUCUGAGAGGAUGAUCUGCCACACUGGAACUGAGACACGGUCCAGACUCCUACGGGAGGCAGCAGUGGGAUUUUGGACAAUGGGGGCAACCCUGAUCCAGCCAUGCCGCGUGAGUGAAGAAGGCCUUCGGUU